AUGUGUCUGAUUGCAGGAUUAUUCCUCUAUUUUUCUAUAGCAUUAUCAUUUCUCAUUUUAAAACAUUAUUUGCUGUUACUGACCCUUCAUUCCAGAAACACAUCGCUUUCUUCCUCUGUACUGGAGUGUAGCAACACAAAGAUACAGCCAACAAUUUCACUUGGUGGUCUGAUGAACUCUCAUAAAUGCCUUGUUUACAGCAUAAGAAUUCCCACCCAAUGGCUUCAAUCUUUAGGUAGAAAUUUGUCACUUGCCUACCUCUAAAUGCACAGUCCAGAAGAGUAAAAACAGCAACAAUGACAAGAUUCUGUUUAAGAAAAAAGAAGAUAGAUAUUUGGUAAGGAAUUAGUAGUAUCUGCUCCCCUCGUGCCAGUCGUUGUUUGACAUGCUUGUGCAAUUAUACUUUUUCUUUUUUAUAUACUUUUAAGGUAUAUAUUUUUUCAUACAAAAAUGUGCAUAAAUGAGGUCUGCUCUAAAAC
RNAcentral lists this long non-coding RNA (479 nucleotides) under Pan paniscus (pygmy chimpanzee). RNAcentral describes it as "lncRNA (ENSPPAG00000044204.1)". The record is from RNAcentral. Lineage: Eukaryota; Metazoa; Chordata; Mammalia; Primates; Hominidae.